GCUUUAUCUUAAUUGGAGCUUUCAGGCUCUUAUACGAUUUUGAUGGGAGAUCAGUAGAAAUAAGUCUUCUACUAUCAUAUUAAUCUUACUAGUAUUUCCUAACUUUAUAUGUGUGGCUAGCUACUCUAGGGAUAACAGCGCAAUUUCUCCCGAAAGAUGGUAUUGGAGGGGAAGAUUGCGACCUCGAUGUUGGCUUUAGAUAUCCUAGAGGCGUAGAAGCUUCU
RNAcentral lists this ribosomal RNA (224 nucleotides) under Mytilus galloprovincialis (Mediterranean mussel). Its description in RNAcentral is "partial large subunit ribosomal RNA". The stretch from base 131 to 224 matches the Rfam family "Bacterial large subunit ribosomal RNA", at positions 2473 to 2566 of the family's 2925-position model. The record is from RNAcentral. Lineage: Eukaryota; Metazoa; Mollusca; Bivalvia; Mytilida; Mytilidae.